RNAcentral lists this ribosomal RNA (499 nucleotides) under uncultured Glomeromycotina. RNAcentral describes it as "partial small subunit ribosomal RNA". It matches the Rfam family "Eukaryotic small subunit ribosomal RNA", at positions 591 to 1092 of the family's 1831-position model. Lineage: Eukaryota; Fungi; Glomeromycota. The record is from RNAcentral.
CCAAUAGCGUAUAUUAAAGUUGUUGCAGUUAAAAAGCUCGUAGUUGAAUUUCGGGAUCAGUACGCUGGUCGUGCCUCCGUUAUGUACUGGCGUCACUGAUUCCUCCCUUCUGAAGAACCAUCAUGCCAUUAAUUUGGUGUGGUGGGGAGUCAGGACUGUUACUUUGAAAAAAUUAGAGUGUUUAAAGCAGGCUCGCGCUUGAAUACAUUAGCAUGGAAUAAUGAAAUAGGACGUUUAUCCUAUUUUGUUGGUUUCUAGGAUUGACGUAAUGAUUAAUAGGGAUAGUUGGGGGCAUUAGUAUUCAAUUGUCAGAGGUGAAAUUCUUGGAUUUAUUGAAGACUAACUACUGCGAAAGCAUUUGCCAAGGAUGUUUUCAUUAAUCAAGAACGAAAGUUAGGGGAUCGAAGACGAUCAGAUACCGUCGUAGUCUUAACCAUAAACUAUGCCGACUAGGGAUCGGAUGAUGUUAAUUUUUUAAUGACUCAUUCGGCGCCUUACG